NNNGUUUAAUAUUGCUUUGUGUCUGUGUCUUUGCUAAAACAAGGUUACUAAGUGUUAAGAUUCUAUCAUGUGUAAUUUAUAUACAAAGAGUAGAAAAAUUUUCAGUUGGGUUUCAAUUAUAGUAUUAUAGUAUCAUAAAAAACAUGAAAGUCUUUCAUCUUAUUAAAGUGGAGUAAUUUGUCUAAAUCAGAAAUUUUAUAAGAGUUGUUUCAAAAUGUGAAUUUAUAAAAAGGGUUAACGGUUUAAAAAGAGAUAGAAAAAGAUUCAAGAUGUGGAAAUAUAUUUUAAUAUAAAAGGUUAAAGGAAAAAAAUGUUUCUAGAUGAGAUAAUCUCUGUGUGGUAAAGUAAAAAGUUGUAAAAUGCCAUUUAAAAAGAUUUUGAGGAAACUAGACUUACUUUAAAAGCUUGAGAAAGGAAGAAAGAAAAAAAAGGUAUUUGUACAUGGCAGAUUGAGACAAAGUUUCUCAAUGGAGUUAAAAAAAAAAAAAAGCCUUUGGUUGAAGGGCAGCCAUGUAAACUAACAUUAAAGCGAUUUAAACAAAAUCUAAGCCUCAUUUAAAAGUGAAGUUGUAGGUGGUGAAAAAGUACAUUUAAAAGUACAGUAUAGAUGAUAAUUAAAAGGUUAAAUUGAAGGUGGUUGAGAUACCUUCAUGGCGGAAAAAAGAUUGCUUUAUUGCAUCAUUCGAAGCCUAGUUAAUCUUAAAGGCAUUACUUAAAAAAAAUGGGAAGAUAAUAGGAUAAAAGAUAUUUAGAUAAAGAAGAUUAAAAAUUUAAAGUGAAAAACUUUAAAAACAGAAAUACAGAAAGGUAAAAAAAAGAGAGAAGAUGUAGAAAGAUAAAAAAGAUAUAGGAAGAUUAAAAAGAUGUAGAAAGGCAAGAAUUUUAAACCCACAAAAUAGGAAACAAAAAAACUAAGGAAAAAAAGCAACUAAGGGUGAAUGUACAAACCUUAGGGGGAAAAAAAAACUGGAAGAUAGAAAUAAGAUAAAAAAUGGUUGAAAAUGUCAAGUAAGGUAUUUCAGAUAAAAAAAUGCAAAAAGCUAGACAACUAUUAGAUACAGACAUAUACUUAUUAAAGCAAAAAGAGGGAAUUUGAAAGGGGUAUAUAUCCCCCAAAGAUAAACUUAAAAUAACGCUUUUUACUCUAAACUUUUUAAAUUUGGAUUCUUCAGGACUUAGUGCUGCGGAAAGGCAUAUGUAUCCAAAAAAUGUACAUAAGCCUAAAGUACUUUGGAAAGAUAUUCUAACAGGACAAUGGAAAGGUCCUGACCCAGUGAUUGUCUGGAGUCGGGGGUCUGUUUGUGUUUUUCCACAGGGAGAACAGCAGCCCAUUUGGAUUCCAGAGAGANGCUC
This 1353-nucleotide long non-coding RNA is filed under the name Marmota monax (woodchuck). The record is from RNAcentral. Lineage: Eukaryota; Metazoa; Chordata; Mammalia; Rodentia; Sciuridae.